GCUAGCGUGGCAGAGCUCGGUAAAAUGCAAAAGGCUUAAGCCCUUUACCCAGAGGUUCAAAUCCUCUCACUAGCU
This 75-nucleotide transfer RNA is filed under the name Scolopax mira (Amami woodcock). Its description in RNAcentral is "tRNA-Leu". It matches the Rfam family "tRNA". From Rfam's summary of the family: Transfer RNA (tRNA) molecules are approximately 80 nucleotides in length. Their secondary structure includes four short double-helical elements and three loops (D, anti-codon, and T loops). The record is from RNAcentral. Lineage: Eukaryota; Metazoa; Chordata; Aves; Charadriiformes; Scolopacidae.